RNAcentral lists this long non-coding RNA (1044 nucleotides) under Mus caroli (Ryukyu mouse). RNAcentral's name for it is "nuclear paraspeckle assembly transcript 1 (MGP_CAROLIEiJ_G0005281.1)". The stretch from base 281 to 433 matches the Rfam family "Nuclear enriched abundant transcript 1 conserved region 3". Lineage: Eukaryota; Metazoa; Chordata; Mammalia; Rodentia; Muridae. The record is from RNAcentral.
ACCUUCAAGACCAGGCUAUCCCUGCUGUCUGCUGGCAUGGGGGCACUUGAUGUCCAGGAGGGUGGACUUAGCUUCGCUGGGCGGACAGCUCUGGCCCAGGGUGAUAGCAGUGCCCUCUCUGGACUUUGCCUAGGUUCCGUGGUUCCUCUUCUGUGGUCUCACUCUUCCCUACUCUCCCCCUCACUCUGAGGUUAAGGGGUCACUUAAAGCCUUGCCUCUGGGUCAUCUGGUAAGCCUGAGGAGGAUGUAGAGUCCGUGCUGGAGUCUUGGGCACAACAUUUUGUGUACACCAUGGCAAGCAGAUGGCACCAGGAGAAAUGGAGCCCCUGCCAGUGUGAGUCGUAGCAGUGCAGGAGGGCUCACCCUGGAGGAGACAGCGGCCUCGGCUGAUGCCUACACAGUGAAUUCCAGAGGCUUAGGAAGCGCGUCCCUGCCCUGGGUCCAGGCCUUUCUCAGGAAGCCCUGUGUUCAGGAGGCCAUCGUUGAAGUCAGCUUGUAGGGGGUGGGCAGGUGCUUCCAGCCGGAGGGGUCGUCGGCUGUGAAUGUUCCAGAUGAAUGUCUUGUUCUGAGAGCGUCAUUCUUUGCGGAUGCAUGAAUGCCAGCAGGCACCCUUUUUCCUGGUGGUAGAGGCGUUCAUUCGGCUGCUGCAUCUUCUAAACAAGCCUCCAUCCAGCCUUUGUAGUUCUGUGCUGCGAACUUGGCCUCAAGAAGAUUCCGUAAGGUGUAGGACACUUUUUAACUUCUGCGCAGCGUGCUGUACUGUAGAUCGGGAGCCCAGUGACCUCGCCCACCUUCCCUGCUUCUGCAGCCUGCCUGCCUCUGCAUUGGUCAGAGGGAUUCUUAACUGAAAACUUGUGGGUGUUGGGGAAAGCUGUUGGGUUGUAAAUGACUGGUGUGGAGGAGUCUUCCUUGGAUGGAGUUGGUUGUUAAAUGGGUAGGGUUUGUGGUUUAACAGUGGGAAGGCGCAAGUUAGCCACAAAUUCUGCCGACUUGGUAGAUGCCGUAUCUAAUUUGGGCUUUGGGACGUCUUCUGGACUAAGAAGG